UAGGGAGACCUACCCGUUUCUACUUAAACGCUUACUUUCUACUAUUCAACCUUGGUUGAGUGAGGAAAAGAGUUAUCAGAGUAGAGAUUGGUCAUCCCAAGGUCGUUCGAGGAUUGAGUGUUGACUUCUAAACUAUGUAAGAUUGGUUCGGGUUAUGGGCUAUUAGCUCAGGUGGUUAGAGCGCACCCCUGAUAAGGGUGAGGUCCCUGGUUCGAGUCCAGGAUGGCCCACCUUUUGAAACAAGGGGGUUUAGCUCAGUUGGUAGAGCGCCUGCUUUGCAAGCAGGAUGUCAACGGUUCGAGUCCGUUAACCUCCACUGAAAGCUGAGAGCUUUCGUACCCGAAUCCAUUUCAAUUCCAGCAACUCAUCUAAUCUUUAGAGAGCCUACUGGACUUGUUCCAGACAGAACCAUGAAAACUGCAUAGAAACUUGUCAGGUAGAAAGUAGUAAAUCUUUCACUAGUUGCUCGACAAGGUAACGAGUGAGGGAUUUCCACAGAUAUCACAGACACCAAUGUUGAUUGAUGAAAGUG
RNAcentral lists this transfer RNA (532 nucleotides) under Phormidesmis priestleyi ANT.LG2.4. Its description in RNAcentral is "partial 16S-23S ribosomal RNA intergenic spacer". The stretch from base 244 to 316 matches the Rfam family "tRNA". Lineage: Bacteria; Bacillati; Cyanobacteriota; Cyanophyceae; Leptolyngbyales; Leptolyngbyaceae. The record is from RNAcentral.